RNAcentral lists this unclassified non-coding RNA (210 nucleotides) under soil metagenome. Its description in RNAcentral is "partial contains 5.8S ribosomal RNA, internal transcribed spacer 2, and large subunit ribosomal RNA". The record is from RNAcentral.
AACCUAGCACACCUGCGGUGUGUACCUGCGGAAGGAUCAUUACCGAGUUUACAACUCCCAAACCCCUGUGAACAUACCUAUACGUUGCCUCGGCGGAUCAGCCCGCGCCCCGUAAAACGGGACGGCCCGCCCGAGGACCCCUAAACUCUGUUUUUAGUGGAACUUCUGAGUAAAACAAACAAAUAAAUCAAAACUUUUAACAAUGGAUCU